RNAcentral lists this unclassified non-coding RNA (223 nucleotides) under fungal sp. Its description in RNAcentral is "partial internal transcribed spacer region". The stretch from base 1 to 46 matches the Rfam family "Eukaryotic small subunit ribosomal RNA", at positions 1786 to 1831 of the family's 1831-position model. Lineage: Eukaryota; Fungi. The record is from RNAcentral.
AAGUCGUAACAAGGUUUCCGUAGGUGAACCUGCGGAAGGAUCAUUAAUAAUUUUUUUCAUCUAAUGAUGAAUAAAAAAUUAACCUUGUGUGCAAACAUUGCUUUGAAAGGAAGAAGGUGAAUACCUUCAUCCUAAAAACAAAAACACAUCAUCAAACUUUUAUGUAAAAACAAAAAUAUAUUAUAAUAAAAUACAACUUUCAACAACGGAUCUCUUGGCUCUC